Molecule: ribosomal RNA, 253 nt
Filed under: uncultured bacterium
Lineage: Bacteria
Description: partial 16S ribosomal RNA
Rfam family: Bacterial small subunit ribosomal RNA
Source: RNAcentral
UACAGAGGUCCCAAGCGUUGUUCGGAUUUACUGGGCGUAAAGGGCGCGUAGGUGGUAGGCUAAGUCUGGUGUGAAAGCUCUGAGCUCAACUCAGAAAUGGCACUAGAUACUAGUUUGCUUGAGGAUUGGAGGGGAGACUGGAAUUCUCGGUGUAGCAGUGAAAUGCGUAGAUAUCGAGAGGAACACCAGUGGCGAAGGCGAGUCUCUGGACAACUCCUGACACUGAGGCGCGAAAGCUAGGGGAGCAAACGGG